UACGUAGGUGGCGAGCGUUAUCCGGAAUUAUUGGGCGUAAAGAGCGCGCAGGUGGUUGAUUAAGUCUGAUGUGAAAGCCCACGGCUUAACCGUGGAGGGUCAUUGGAAACUGGUCGACUUGAGUGCAGAAGAGGGAAGUGGAAUUCCAUGUGUAGCGGUGAAAUGCGUAGAGAUAUGGAGGAACACCAGUGACGAAGGCGGCUUCCUGGUCUGUAACUGACACUGAGGCGCGAAAGCGUGGGGAGCAAACAGGAUUAGAUA
RNAcentral lists this ribosomal RNA (261 nucleotides) under uncultured prokaryote. Its description in RNAcentral is "partial 16S ribosomal RNA". It matches the Rfam family "Bacterial small subunit ribosomal RNA", at positions 524 to 784 of the family's 1533-position model. The record is from RNAcentral.